Molecule: long non-coding RNA, 387 nt
Filed under: Ananas comosus (pineapple)
Lineage: Eukaryota; Viridiplantae; Streptophyta; Magnoliopsida; Poales; Bromeliaceae
Description: long non-coding RNA (ACOM_LNC016028)
Source: RNAcentral
AUUUUUGAUUUAAAUUGAAAAUUUGAAUUGGAACAAAAAGUUUUAUUUUAAAUUUAUGUUUUAUAUUCAAAAAAAUUAAAUUUGAUUUAUAAAGUUUUAAAUGUUGUUUUGAAUUUAAAUUUGCAGUUUGGUUGUAAUUUAAAAUUCAACUAUUGUUGUAGGUAUUUAAGAGGGUCACAAUAUUCUUAGUUGAAUAAAACCGAUUUUGUGGACCAAAUUAUUUUUCAAAGACUAAAAUACCCUUUAAAUGGAUACUUGGUGAAUGGUACCUAUGCUUCAAUAGCACAGGUCACCUCUAGAAUCAUAUUAAAUUUAAACCAUCUAUUAAGAAAAAUAAAUGGUCAAGAUUUAUAUAGAGUAUUGAAGUAUUCCUCAUAUAUUAAUUAU